RNAcentral lists this ribosomal RNA (429 nucleotides) under Bacillota bacterium. Its description in RNAcentral is "Firmicutes bacterium partial 16S ribosomal RNA". It matches the Rfam family "Bacterial small subunit ribosomal RNA", at positions 355 to 776 of the family's 1533-position model. The record is from RNAcentral. Lineage: Bacteria; Bacillati; Bacillota.
UAGGGAAUCUUCGGCAAUGGACGGAAGUCUGACCGAGCAACGCCGCGUGAGUGAAGAAGGUUUUCGGAUCGUAAAGCUCUGUUGUUAGAGAAGAACGUUGGUAGGAGUGGAAAAUCUACCAAGUGACGGUAACUAACCAGAAAGGGACGGCUAACUACGUGCCAGCAGCCGCGGUAAUACGUAGGUCCCGAGCGUUGUCCGGAUUUAUUGGGCGUAAAGCGAGCGCAGGCGGUUCUUUAAGUCUGAAGUUAAAGGCAGUGGCUUAACCAUUGUACGCUUUGGAAACUGGAGGACUUGAGUGCAGAAAGGGAGAGUGGAAUUCCAUGUGUAGCAGUGAAAUGCGUAGAUAUAUGAAGGAACACCGGUGGCGAAAGCGGCUCUCUGGUCUGUAACAGACGCAGAGGCUCGAAAGCGUGGGGAGCAAACAGG